GGGGCACAGGCCUGUGGGUGCCCAGGAGCCACCGCCCAUGAGGCCCUUCCUGCAGGCUCCUCCCGGCCUGGCAGCCUCAGUGACUUGGGAGGGGUCAGGCCCAGGGCUGAACAGGCCAGGGCUUACCCACACCCCUGUCACCUGCCGUGUGACCCAGGACCAUGACUCUACCUCUUGGUGCCUGUCUCCUUUCCCUUGGGAGGGUGAGUGCCAAUGGCUGUGGCACCCACAUCACCCGUUCUGGGGGCCACGGCACUCUGGGUUUCUCAGACCCCCAGCUCCCCAGCUCCCCUUCUCCAUGGGGCCACCUCUCACCCCAGCCCUGCCUGCCUAGUCUGCCACCAACUUCAGGCCUCAGCACAAAUGUCCCUCCCUCGGGGAUGCCUUCCCAGACAGGAUGAAACCGAGGCAUAGAGUGGUGGGCAGAAGACCACUCCAAGAGUGAGCGAUGGUGGGACUGGAACCUCAGGGGCCUCAGACGGCUGUCACCUGCUGCAGCUGCACAGGCACAGAGCCCAGGACCCCUUCCUUAUCUGGAAUUUGGAGAUGGCAAUCCUCUUUCCCUCCUGCGGUGGCCGUGAGGACUGAAUGGGGCGAUAGGGCAGCACAUCUCGGCUGACAUUUCUCACUGCCCAAAGACCCCACACACAGCCUCUUCUGCUACAUCCCAACCAGCACCCCCUUCUGAAGUCCCUGCACUAACCACACCACCCACCGCCCAUGACCACCCGGCCAGCAGGCUGGCCCAGCGGGGGUCCUGGGGCUUUGCCAUGCUCCCCCAUAGCCCACAGACACAGCCCAGCUCUCGAUGGAGUGCUGGCUUGUGGGAGAGCUGUGGCCAAGAACUAGGCUCCCACCCCCUUGAGCUGUGUGACCCUGGGUGAGCUACUUCCAUCUCUGGGCCUCUGGCCUCACGUCUGUAAAAUGGGAUAAUGGGGUGCUUUUGCAGCAGUGCGCUGUGGGGAUGGUGUUCAAAACUUCCCUGGGCUGGGGGCUGGCCUUUCUCAGUGCUUCUGCAGCAGUGCAGCGCUGAGCAUGGCUGGCCUAUGCAGGGCUGGAGACCACCUCCUUUAGCCCCUCAUUUUGUAGAAGAGGAAGCAGUGGCUGAAAGAAGGCAGGGCCUUGCCUAAAGCUGCCCCCACAGAGCUUUGGGGCCUUCCCUCCCUCUGCUUGCCUUGUGGCUGCUGUGUGGAGAUGAGCAUGCCACCUACCUACAGACCCCAUGCGCGGCCCUCCCCCACCCCACCCCACCCCACCCCACCCCACCCAGUCUGGCA
This 1277-nucleotide long non-coding RNA is filed under the name Homo sapiens (human). Its description in RNAcentral is "HSALNT0305750". Lineage: Eukaryota; Metazoa; Chordata; Mammalia; Primates; Hominidae. The record is from RNAcentral.